CCUAGACCAUCAUUGCUGCUAAUGCCAUCGCUCGCUUUCAGUGUCAUUGAAGCUCUCAAGGUGGAUAGUUUGCAGAAACUUUGCUCAUCAUUGGAGCCCAUACUUCGGCGUGUGGUUAGUGAAGAAGUGGAGCGAGCUUUAGCAAAAUUGGGCCCCUUCAAAAUUACUGGGAGGUAUGCUAUUUUUUAGCUAUGUGGAACCAUAGU
Long non-coding RNA from Eucalyptus grandis, 206 nucleotides. RefSeq lists it as uncharacterized. The transcript has 3 exons. The record is from RefSeq and is a predicted model, not a curated record. NCBI's taxonomy places the organism in Eukaryota, Viridiplantae, Streptophyta, Magnoliopsida, Myrtales, Myrtaceae.